This is a long non-coding RNA of Ahaetulla prasina, 1378 nucleotides long. RefSeq lists it as uncharacterized. The transcript has 3 exons. The record is from RefSeq and is a predicted model, not a curated record. NCBI's taxonomy places the organism in Eukaryota, Metazoa, Chordata, Lepidosauria, Squamata, Colubridae.
UUAAGAGAGCUCAACAUCUACUCAAGUUUUAUGUAAUGUACAGGGCACCCGCUGAUUGCUAUGUCAAUACAAUUGAAGAAUCAAUGAAUUUCCAUUUGCAGAAGAAAAAUAAAAGAAAGCGUAUAAGAAGUAUUGGUUGCCUGUCUAAAAAACUGAAGAAAAGGCUACCCACACAAAGCAGCUGCGUUUUCCCGGCCAGGACUGCCGUGAAUCCAUUGGCUGAAGGCCAGCUCAUUACUCCAGAGUGAGGACGGAGACAGAACACUGGACCUUUCUAGAUAUGAUUCCCAUUUAUGAUGCUACUUCAGUGGAAGGAGACCCCUCGGGUGAUGCCGCAGGAUGCCAUUUGUCUGUGUUUCUGGUGCGGCGCUAGCCCCUUGUGGUGGACCUUGGAAAAUGUGCAAGCAUGAACUGAAUGGUUUCUCAGUCUUAGGCAGCUUAUAUUAGCAUUGUAGUCUAUUGGAUAAUGUAACAAUUUAGCCUAUGGCUAAAUAAAUAAUGCAACCCUCAUAAAAGAGGUGGGGUUUUAAACCAGUGGUGAAAUUCAAAUUUUUUUACUACCAGUUCUGUGGGCAUGGCUUGGUGGACGUUGUGUGGCUUGGUGGGCGUGGCUUAGUGGGCAUUGCAGAGGAAGGAUACUGCAAAAUCCCCAUUCCCUCCCCACUCCUGGUGGAAGGAUAUUGCAAAAUCUCCAUUCCCACCCCACUCUGGGGCCAGCCAGAGGUGGUAUUUGGUGGUUCUCCAAACUACUCAAAAUUUCCACUACCAGUUCUCCAGAACCUGUUACAACCUACUGGAUUUCACCCCUGCUUCAAACCCAUGUUCAUAUAAUGUCAAAUAACACCUAGGUUAGAAAUGCAGUAUUUAUCACAUGGCAGUACUUCUCUGCAGAAGUAUUUCUCUUUUAAUUGUCUAAUAACACAAAAAUGAUUAUGUUUGACUAGCUUUAUGUAGCUUUUGAGUGAAUUCUGUAAUUGUUUUCCUGAAACAGAAAAAUAGUUUUAUAUAAUUCUUUCAAUUAACAUUGAAUUUUAGGAUGAAAAUGGAUCUUUCUUCCAUAGGGAAUAUGGAAAAAUUAUAUGUUCUUUGAAUUCUAUUCUAUUCUAUUUAUUUAGAAGAUUUAUAGGACUGUCCCUCUCAAAAGAAUUUUGGGUGGCUCAGAACACAACAAAACUAUCAAAAACAUGUAACAAAAACUAAAAACCUAGUACCUCAAUCUAUCUUCCAGAGUGUCUCAACUGCUCUCCACCACUAUACCCCAGUGCCUGGGUAAAAUGCCAAAUUUUAAUGACCUUCCGAUAAGCUAAGAGAACGAAAGCCUACCAGAUUUCUAUGGGAAGGGUAUUCCUUGAGGAAGGGCAGUCAAAGAAAAAGCAUG